GUGAGGAAUAUUGCGCAAUGGAGGCAACUCUGACGCAGCCAUGCCGCGUGCAGGAAGAAGGCGCUACGCGUUGUAAACUGCUUUUAACCGGGAAGAAACCCCAGGACGUGUCCUGGGUUGACGGUACCGGCGGAAUAAGCACCGGCUAACUUCGUGCCAGCAGCCGCGGUAAUACGAAGGGUGCAAGCGUUAUCCGGAUUCAUUGGGUUUAAAGGGUGCGUAGGCGGAGCGUUAAGUCAGUGGUGAAAUCCUGCAGCUUAACUGUAGACUUGCCAUUGAUACUGGCGCUCUUGAGUGCGCUUGAAGUGGGCGGAAUGUGCCGUGUAGCGGUGAAAUGCUUAGAUAUGGCACAGAACACCAAUUGCGAAGGCAGCUCACUAAGGCGAUACUGACGCUGAGGCACGAAAGCGUGGGGAUCGAACAGGAUUAGAAACCCGGGUAGUCC
RNAcentral lists this ribosomal RNA (445 nucleotides) under uncultured bacterium. Its description in RNAcentral is "partial 16S ribosomal RNA". It matches the Rfam family "Bacterial small subunit ribosomal RNA", at positions 354 to 796 of the family's 1533-position model. The record is from RNAcentral.